UGAGGAAUAUUGGACAAUGGGGGCAACCCUGAUCCAGCCAUGCCGCGUGAGUGAUGAAGGCCUUCGGGUUGUAAAGCUCUUUUAGAUGUGACGAUGAUGACGGUAGCAUCAGAAAAAGCUCCGGCUAACUUCGUGCCAGCAGCCGCGGUAAUACGAAGGGAGCGAGCGUUGUUCGGAAUCACUGGGCUUAAAGCGUGCGUAGGCGGAUAUGUAAGUCAGAAGUGAAAUCCCGGGGCUUAACCCCGGAACUGCUUUUGAGACUGCAAAUCUAGAAUUCGGUAGAGGUUAAUGGAAUGUCCAGUGUAGAGGUGAAAUUCGCAGAUAUUGGACGGAACACCAGUGGCGAAGGCGAUUAACUGGGCCGAUAUUGACGCUGAGGCACGAAAGCGUGGGUAGCAAACAG
Molecule: ribosomal RNA, 403 nt
Filed under: uncultured bacterium
Lineage: Bacteria
Description: bacterial SSU rRNA
Rfam family: Bacterial small subunit ribosomal RNA
Source: RNAcentral